CAGGUUCUACUACACUGCCACACGGGGGGGGGGGCCCGCCCGGAACAUCUGCUCUUGGGGUCCCGCUGAAUCAUGACCAAGACACAGCAGCAAGUGACUGGACCAGGGGAGUGUGUGAGGAAUCAGCUGCCCGGAAGGGAAAGGCGCCAGCUGACCCCCUCGUCACUCCGGGACUAUGACUCCACUGUGAAGCGGCCAACCCUAUUCUCAUCAGAAGGGACCAGAGCAGGAGCCUUUGGCUUGUCCUUGGCUACAACGGAUGUCCACUGAGUCAGGAACACGAAAAUGAGACCCCGCCUUGCCAUGAGGAACAUGGGACAUUUUGGAGUUGAGUAGAAUAUCAUGGCUCUGCCCCAAAGUGAUGGCUGUUAUGCACCUGGGAGAUGACUGCUUCUCCAGCCAUCUGCUGGCAGGCAUCGGGAUGGAUUUGAUGGACUGAAGGCCGAGAGCAGCAACAGGAGAGGCGUUUACAGAACCAUGGACUUGACCCAGCAGUACUGCCUGGGCCAUGUGAGGCCAGAGCCACCCCAGCCCCAGCCUCAGGCCCGGGUACUCAGAGAGCUGAGGACGGCUAUGCUGCAGAGUCUCAUCCCGGAGGACACUGAGAGCAGACAGGGGCCAGUGUCCCUUGAGAGGUGUCACUCCGAUUCCAGCCUCAAAAAAUGGUCCACACCUUUGCCUUGAGGAAGACCCAUGUUCCUCAGUCCUCGUGGAUCCUGGGAGAGGCAGAAGGCAGCCCCUGAGAGGAGUUUCACAGAAGGACACUGCUGUGCCUUGAGUCUGAACACUUGGUACCCAGCCGGUGGUGCUGUCUUGGGGUGUGGGGCCUCGAUGGAGGAAGUGAGUCAUGGCAGGUGGGGCGCAAGGGUCAGGUGCCUGCUCCACUUCUGUCUGUACUCUCUGCCUCUUGGUCCCCUGCAAUGUAGGAAGCAGCUGCUGUUGUUGUGUUCCCGCCAUGGUGGAUUGGCUGCAUCCCCUGAAACCAUGAGCCAAAAUAGAUGGCCCUGCAGUGGCUUCUCCUCAGAUACUCUGUCACUGUGACGAGGAAAGGAACUAAUACAGAUGUUGAGAGCUUCCUGUGUGUCACACAGAGGGUAUGAGAUGUGUCUACAAGACAAUCUCUGGCCUUGGGGAAAAGUGUGAGUGUAGGUACAGAUGCAUAGGUGUCUUAUAUGCAUAUAUGUGCCUUAUAAUUUUACUAUUAUGGAAGUAUUUUUACUAUAAAUGUAAGUGUAUAAAUGAAUCAAUAUAUCUGUUUUUACUGCUGGGGA
Molecule: non-coding RNA, 1271 nt
Organism: Peromyscus maniculatus bairdii (prairie deer mouse)
Lineage: Eukaryota; Metazoa; Chordata; Mammalia; Rodentia; Cricetidae
Source: RefSeq, a predicted model, not a curated record